Molecule: ribosomal RNA, 253 nt
Filed under: uncultured bacterium
Lineage: Bacteria
Description: partial 16S ribosomal RNA
Rfam family: Bacterial small subunit ribosomal RNA
Source: RNAcentral
UACAGAGGGGGCAAGCGUUGUUCGGAAUUACUGGGCGUAAAGGGCGCGUAGGCGGCCUGUUAAGUCGGACGUGAAAUCCCUCGGCUCAACCGGGGAACUGCGUCUGAUACUGGCGGGCUUGAAUUCGGGAGAGGGAUGUGGAAUUCCAGGUGUAGCGGUGAAAUGCGUAGAUAUCUGGAGGAAUACCGGUGGCGAAGGCGGCAUCCUGGACCAUUACUGACGCUGAGGCGCGAAAGCUAGGGGAGCAAACGGG